GAGGAAGCUACCUGCAGUCCAACGGGGUCUUAGUGCGGAAGUUUUCGGAUGGAAGGAUUAAGACUUAGUGGCGGACGGGUGAGUAACGCGUGGGUAACCUGCCCUGUACAGGGGGAUAACAGUUGGAAACGGCUGCUAAAACCGCAUAACAUGGAGAUACCGCAUGAUAUUUCCAUCAAAUAUUUAUAGGUACAGGAUGGGCCCGCGUCUGAUUAGCCAGUUGGCAGGGUAAUGGCCUACCAAAGCGACGAUCAGUAGCCGGCUUGAGAGAGUGACCGGCCACAUUGGGACUGAGACACGGCCCAAACUCCUACGGGAGGCAGCAGUGGGGGAUAUUGCACAAUGGGGGAAACCCUGAUGCAGCGACGCCGCGUGAGUGAAGAAGUAUUUCGGUAUGUAAAGCUCUAUCGGCAGGGAAGAAAAAAAUGACAGUACCUGACUAAGAAGCCCCGGCUAACUACGUGCCAGCAGCCGCGGUAAUACGUAGGGGGCAAGCGUUAUCCGGAUUUACUGGGUGUAAAGGGAGCGUAGGCGGCCACGCAAGUCAGAAGUGAAAACCCGGGGCUCAACCCUGGGAGUGCUUUUGAAACUGUGCGGCUAGAGUGUCGGAGGGGUAAGUGGAAUUCCUAGUGUAGCGGUGAAAUGCGUAGAUAUUAGGAGGAACACCAGUGGCGAAGGCGGCUUACUGGACGAUGACUGACGCUGAGGCUCGAAAGCGUGGGGAGCAAACAGGAUUAGAUACCCUGGUAGUCCACGCCGUANACGAUGAAUACUAGGUGUCGGGGGUCAUAAGACUUUCGGUGCCGUCGCANACGCAGUAAGUAUUCCACCUGGGGAGUACGUUCGCAAG
This 850-nucleotide ribosomal RNA is filed under the name uncultured bacterium. RNAcentral's name for it is "bacterial SSU rRNA". It matches the Rfam family "Bacterial small subunit ribosomal RNA", at positions 44 to 892 of the family's 1533-position model. The record is from RNAcentral.